This is a long non-coding RNA of Gadus morhua (Atlantic cod), 2242 nucleotides long. RefSeq lists it as uncharacterized. The transcript is spliced from 2 exons. NCBI's taxonomy places the organism in Eukaryota, Metazoa, Chordata, Actinopteri, Gadiformes, Gadidae. The record is from RefSeq and is a predicted model, not a curated record.
UAAACACACUUUGACUUUGACUUUGACUUUGGCCUCCUUUACCGCUACCUGCCGCUACUCAGACUACUGCCUAUGACUACUGCGCACUGUACUCCCUCUCAGCCUUGUUUUAAUUUGAUUAAUUUCACCUUAUUACUUGAUUUCAACCAUGGUAAACCGUUGCUGUAUUGUGGGCUGUAACAGCGCAACACAUGAUCGCCAUGGGAAAAAGAUAGAAAAUGGGUUAACUUUCCACCGCUUUCCUGCCUGGAGGCGCAACCACGGAGACCAAGUGUCGGAGAUAACGAAGAGUCGUCGGCUCGCUUGGAUCGCGGCUGUAAGACGACCGAACAUAACUUUCCACAGUAUCCCGAUGUCGAUGAGAGUGUGUUCCCUGCAUUUUCAUUCUGGUAAGUUAAAGAUGCACGAUUUUAUUUUUAUAGCCUAGAUCUACGUUGUUUCUUUCCUUCAACCGCGACACCACAUACAUGAAUGCGCGCCCACACAAACAUAACAUAACAUAACAUCAGAGACGGUUGAUAUAGCAUUUCAUCCUCAUUGGUUGAUAUAGCAUUUGAUAUAGCAUUUCAUCCUCGUUGGUAGAACACACUGCCAGUUCUUACAAGGGCAGGGACAUCCCUCUCCAUUUUCAAAAAACUCCUGAAGACCCAGCUCUUUGGAGAACAACAUCUCUCAUAGCACCACUUACAAGUCUUGCUGAUCCUAGCACUUACCAGCCGUCUUGAACUGACACUCAACUGUUUAAAAACAGCACUCAUUGAUGCACUUAUUCUUACUGUACUCUACCGUUUUUAAAUUGUCCUAAAAUUGUUGAGAGAAUUGAUUUAAAACUUAACUGUUACCAUGUUGUUAGUCUCUUUGGUUAAAAAUGCGUCAGCCAAAUGUAAUGUAAUGUAAUCAUACAAUAUAAUAAUAUGUAUAUUAAGGAUCUUUCAUAACAUUAUGGUUCUAUAUGUUUUCAACACUUCUGCUAUGGAUAAUCAUUUUUAAAUUGUGUUACCAGGAAAACCAGCAAAUGAAAUGUACAACUCGCAUCCGGAUUGGGCACCAUCACUACACUUGGGCCACACUGAGAUGAAGGCCACAAAGACUGCACGCUAUGAGAGACAGAACAAAAGAAAACGGCAAAGGACUGACAGUACACCUGCGAUGGAUGAGACAGUUAUUGAUGACCUUGUUCCACCAGUGGAGACACCAGCACCAGCAGAGGAUGGAGCUGACCAGACACUGCUGACAGAAUGUGACUUCUGUCAGCGUCGGCGUGCUGAAAUCAACCGGCUGCUGGAAGAGAACAGGACCCCUGAAAUGUGAGCUUGGCCAGAGAAAAAUGGAUGAACAUUUCCUGAAGGAUGACAACGUCAAAGUGAAAUACUACACUGGACUUCCACACCUUGAAGUUGUCAUGGGUGUUCUAGCCUGUGUUGGAUCGUACAUGACACAGAGUAGUAAAGUUCUGUCACCUUUUCAGAUGCUUUUCCUGACCCUCAUGCGCCUUAGACUAAACUUACCUUUACAACACAUUGCCCACCUCUUUUGUGUAGACAGAAAAACUGUUUCCAAAACGUUCAGUGACACCAUAAAUGUUCUGCAUGCGCGCACCAGCCCUUUGAUUAACUGGCCAGGGCGAGAUGCGUUGCAUGCAACUAUGCCCCAUCAGUUUGUGGAGGCCUUUGGGAAGCGUGUUGCUGUUAUUCUGGACUGUUUUGAAAUAUUCAUACAGACACCAUCAAAUCUUAAAGCUCAAGCUCAGUCAUAUUCCCACUACAAACACAACACAACUAUGAAGUUCCUUAUUGGUAUUACACCACAGGGCUCAAUUUCUUUCAUUUCCAAGGAAUUGGGGGGACGCGUCAGUGAUAAGCACGUAACUGAUAACUGUGGGAUUCUGGACAAACUGUUACCUGGGAAUUUGGUGUUGGCUGACCGCGCCUUUGACAUACAGGACAGUGUAGGACUUAUGUGUGCCGAAGUAAAGAUCCCUGCUUUCACAAAAGGACGCAGUCAGCUGGAUGCAAGAGACGUGGAGAGCACAAGAAAAAUUGCCCACCUCCGAAUUCAUGUGGAAAGGGUGAUCGGAACCGUCCGCAACAAGUACACCAUUUUGUCAGCUAAAGUACCUAUUCACAUGGUGUUGCCAUGCAAGGAUGAAGACAUGACAUUUCUUGAUAAGAUUGUGUCUGUAUGUUGUGCUCUGACAAACAUGAGCCCUAGUGUUGUGCUGAAAUAAAUGUGCAUCUGGUUU